This 117-nucleotide ribosomal RNA is filed under the name uncultured ammonia-oxidizing bacterium. Its description in RNAcentral is "partial 16S ribosomal RNA". It matches the Rfam family "Bacterial small subunit ribosomal RNA", at positions 198 to 303 of the family's 1533-position model. The record is from RNAcentral.
GGAGAAAAGCAGGGGAUCGAAAGACCUUGCGCUAAAGGAGCGGCCGAUGUCUGAUUAGCUAGUUGGUGGGGUAAAGGCUUACCAAGGCAACGAUCAGUAGCUGGUCUGAGAGGACGA